Molecule: long non-coding RNA, 506 nt
Organism: Mastomys coucha (southern multimammate mouse)
Lineage: Eukaryota; Metazoa; Chordata; Mammalia; Rodentia; Muridae
Exons: 2
Source: RefSeq, a predicted model, not a curated record
CACGCGCACAAGGCAUUUUUAUGCUAACGGCAAGCCGGAUGUCAUCGCCAUCUUGUAAUGGCGAUGUGCUUAUGAAGUGGCUUCCCACAGUAACUGGCAUCAUUGUGUUGGUAAGACACUGAGAGCUGUCUCAGAAGUGUUCUAGUAAUGAGGAACCUGGCAUCCAUCAAUUUCCUGUUUCAUUACUUGAGAAUUUAUUCUAAGGGCACAUUCCAAUGGGCAGAGAAUACUCGUGAACAGAGUGCAACGAGAAGCCAUGGGCAAGCAGAGGAUCCUGGAAAGAGAAGAAGACAUAAGGAGAAUCUCCUUGGGUAAAGUACCUGCCAACUUCUUCAAGUUCUGGAUUUAUGUUAAAAAGAAAGCCAGAAGCCAAAAAGAACGAAUAUUGAUUGGGUCAGUGCAUGCCAAGCCUCUACUUUUAACAAUAAUGAAGAACAAAUACAGUUUCAAAAGAGGAGCAUCUAUGGAAGCAACCAUGAUCCUUUUGUUAAAAUUGAUUACUCGGA